UUGUGGGCCAGCCCUUGAAAGCGCCAAAUUUAAAUUUGAAACUAAUUGAAGUCCUGUAUGUGAUUGGUUCGAUAAAAUUUGUAUAUAUUGGCUGUGUGCGUCGCAACAUUUGCAGUAGUUGAAGCAUAUGAGUCUUCGUUCGCGGUGGAUUUGCGGUUUCAUCAUUAGCGUGUUGUCGGCUUUCGAUGUCCUUUUUUGGAGCGGGUAUAUUUACUACUUGUGCUGUCAUUGUGUCCGCUACAGAAUUCUCGCCGUCUGCUGCAGCUGUUUUUUUCGAGAAUGGAUUAGCUAAGAGGAGCGAUAUGUUACAUUAUGUAAAUUAAGUUUUCGAAACCAUUCAACUUACUUAGAUAUUCAUCGGCAAGUAUGUCCAGCCAGGAGGAAUCAUCUUGCGAUGGCAUUCCAAUUACGAAACCAUCUAAACGUAAUUUCAGAUUUUCUUCGCCCUUCUGACGUUGAUCAUAAUGGAUCUCCUCUUGCUGAUAGCCAUAGUCCCCAUAAUCGUUGUACAAAAGCUCCAGCAAAUCGCUGGCAGAGCUACGCAUUUUUGAUGGCUUUGCCAUGGCCAAGCCAAUAAAUUGCAGAAAGAACAAGACAAACAGACGAUUGGUGAAUUUGCACAUCUUUUUGGAUGCUUCUCUUUUAUAGCGUAGACAGGACCGCCGUCGUCUGAAAGCGGACAACGAAUGAGCCACAGUUCUGGGCAUGAGCAUAAGAUGAGCCUUUGCCAGAAGUUUGAUCGUUAAAAAAGAAAAAAAAAAACUCGAUUCUGUGAAUAGGCAACCGAUUCCAGUUCAAUGGCCCAAAGACUUCCGCAUUGUGAUGAGAAUGUGAGAACCUUCACUGCAGAUGCAGUUGCAUUUGCCACUGACCGCAGCUUGCCACUCAAUUAUGCGCAGUUCUAAUGCUUCCUUGACAAACAUGUAAAUUACAUCAAAUACAUAUGUAUUUCUAUUUGAAUUAA
This is a long non-coding RNA of Drosophila sulfurigaster albostrigata, 964 nucleotides long. RefSeq lists it as uncharacterized. The record is from RefSeq and is a predicted model, not a curated record. The transcript has 2 exons. NCBI's taxonomy places the organism in Eukaryota, Metazoa, Arthropoda, Insecta, Diptera, Drosophilidae.